UUGUUCGAGGUACAAUUUCAUUAUUAGAAGCGCUGUGAUCUACUCUUUUUCCCACUCUCUCUUGUAGAAUUUCAUUCUCUAUUCUAUAAUUGGCUUAUGUUAUGUUCACAGAUGUUUUGUACAUUUUAUCAACCUCAGAUAGUGUUUCGUUGAAGUGUUUCAGCGAGUCGUUUUCUUUGAUAUUAGAGUGCCCUAUGACAUUUAGUGAGCUUCCGGUUUGUUGCCAACCUCUGGAUGACCCUGGUGUAUUGGUUGGUCUCACUGAUAAAACUCGAUGGCAACCAUUUGCUGCAUGGACAAUCAGACUUAUUAACAAGUGUCUAAUGGAAGGGACUCUCCAUGUGGAAGAGCUUAUUAAUGUUUCUUUUGCUUAUUCAGUUUGUUCUUCUUUACUGUGCUACCGGGAUGCAACUCUGCAUAUGGCUUGUUUUGACUUUGCACGAAUAACAACUGAGGUGAUCGAUGCAAAUAUUAUACCCGUUGAAAAUGUAAUUCGUUCAAUAGCAUGCAUACUGUGCCUUGAUGAAAGUAAGUCUAUGACAUUCAGAAACACAAUAUAUGAUUCUUGUAUGGGUGCUUGCCUCCAUCUGCUACAUUUUUCUUGUUCGGAUAAGAUUAUUGAAUCCACAGCUAAUGAGAUUAUUAAUGCUUUCCCUAGAUCCAUAUGUAGCAUAGAGAGCCGUGAACUUCAGUUGGCUAUGUGUAGUGCCUAUACAAGAAUUGCUAAAAGGUGCCAUCUGCAAAUUUGGGAACCUAGACUUCUUGUUAGGAUGCUAUGUUCAGAAAGACCUUGUUUACCCUUGAUUCAAUGCAUCCGAGCAGCAAUCACUAUACUAACUCCCAGUUAUGUUCUAGAAGGUGAAGUUGAUACUAGCACAUCUGUUGCUAAUUUAAAGUCAUCUGUGUUGCCGCAAAUCAGUAGCAAAAGGUCAAUGGAAAUCAACUCUACUGUUGAGUGCAAGCGUCAAAAGACUACAGAUUUUCUUGUGGAUAUUGAGGAGAAGAAAAAGUUUGCAAAUGAACUGAAGAGAUCAAUUUGUUUGUUUCUUGAAUCUGCAAAACCUGCAAGUUUGAAAGCUUCUACACUAAAACCAGAAACAAAUAUAACAGCUCUUAGUCUCCUGACUCUCCUCUGCCUUUCAUUUUCAGCUCACCCACAUUCCAGUUUAUCCUCUACCAUUUUCCAUAAAAAAUUUUCUUGGAUUCCUUGGAUAUGUAAGCAGGCAAAGGAUUCAAGCUUACUAGUAUCUGCUUUGCCAACCUAUUUACAAGCUGUUCACAACAUAUUGUGUCUUCAAGAUCUCGAGUCACGAGAAAAGUUGUUCCAAGACGAUGAAUUCUUGACUGAUGUUGAAAGAAGCAGCUAUAUAUUCCCAAAAUACGCAGAUUUUCUAGAGUUGUUGAAAUUGCCUUGGACUUGUAAUUCUAUUAUUCAGCAAGCUUGUGAAGUCAGUAAAAUUAAAUGUCUAUGUAUUCAAAUUUUCUCAAAGAUUGGUCCUAAACUAAAUGAUGAAAGUGAUUUAGAAGUUCUGGACUUGGCUAUUCAUGAUGAAGAUGAAGAAGUUUGCAUUGAAGCUGUCACAUCAAUGCCAGUCAUUGUAUUAUGCUCUGGCCAGAUAUUUUUUGAGAAAAUGCUCAGAAAACUUGAGAAAAACACAAACGGUGUCAAUUUCGAAAAUCUCCCACUUCGACUCAAUCUUCCAAGAUUGUAAGACAGAUCUCUCUUUCAAUUUUUGGCUCUCUCUUCGAUAUUUUUAGGGGUUUAGAAGGAUAUAAAGGUCACUUCAAUAUAUACUCUGAACUGGUGCCAGAGGCGUCUUGUAAUGCCUUUGGAGCCGAAGGCGUCGUGGGACGCUUCCGACGCCUAUAGAGGUGUCCCGCGACUCCUCCGACACCGCUGCGACGCUUCGCAGACAGGAUGCCUUCACUGCCGGUUUUGCCCGCCCGGCGGAAAAGUAAAAACUAUUCGUGUCGGAUGGCACGGAACGACAUUUCAUUCUACAGUGCAAUCUCUCUUAAGUGUUCUUUUUUAUAUAUAAAAGUUCAUGAUAUGCAUCUCUUAUAAUGUUUGUCCUUAGGUAGAUGAUAUAACUUCCACUCUAACUGACAUAUGGAAUAAUGAAGGUUCUCUGAUUUCUCUACUUCUCAUUUGGUCUAUUGCAUUGCUAAGUUUUAAAAGUUGAAUUAAACAUCAUAAGUUAUCUGUAAAUCUUGCAGGUGAAGCAACUGACAGGCCUAAAAAG
Zingiber officinale is the source of this 2243-nucleotide RNA transcript. It is a transcript of the gene named serine/threonine-protein kinase ATR-like, with no coding region annotated. The record is from RefSeq and is a predicted model, not a curated record. Lineage: Eukaryota; Viridiplantae; Streptophyta; Magnoliopsida; Zingiberales; Zingiberaceae. The transcript has 8 exons.